GACGAACGCUGGCGGCGUGCUUAACACAUGCAAGUCGAACGAUGACGACCGAGCUUGCUCGGUCUGAUUAGUGGCGAACGGGUGAGUAACACGUGAGCAACCUGCCCUUCACUCUGGGAUAACCUCGGGAAAUCGGGGCUAAUACCGGAUAUGAGCUCCUGUCGCAUGGCGGGUGUUGGAAAGUUUUUCGGUGAAGGAUGGGCUCGCGGCCUAUCAGUUUGUUGGUGAGGUAGUGGCUCACCAAGGCGAUGACGGGUAGCCGGCCUGAGAGGGCGACCGGCCACACGGGGACUGGGAAACGGCCGAGACUCCUAGGGGAGGCAGCGGGGGGGAAUAUUGCACAAGGGGCGAAAGCGUGAAGCAGGCACGCCGGGUGGGGGAUGACGGCCUUCGGGUUGUAAACCUCUUUCAGCAGGGAAGAAGCGAAAGUGGGGGUACCUGCAAAAGAAGCGCGGGCGAACUACG
RNAcentral lists this ribosomal RNA (465 nucleotides) under uncultured bacterium. Its description in RNAcentral is "partial 16S ribosomal RNA". It matches the Rfam family "Bacterial small subunit ribosomal RNA", at positions 28 to 505 of the family's 1533-position model. The record is from RNAcentral.